Oryzias melastigma (Indian medaka) is the source of this 1732-nucleotide long non-coding RNA. RefSeq lists it as uncharacterized. Lineage: Eukaryota; Metazoa; Chordata; Actinopteri; Beloniformes; Adrianichthyidae. The transcript has 3 exons. The record is from RefSeq and is a predicted model, not a curated record.
CUCCCCCCACCCCACAACCCUCAGUGUCCAAAGGUGUUUGCUGAAGUAAAUCUGUCUAAAUCCCGCACAGCUUGGCCAGGAGGAGGAGGGAGGGAAGGUGUACCGAUAAUCCCUCUUCUUAACCAAAAAAUAAAGGAAGGCAAAAAAAAAAAAAAAAAAGUUCUGGGCGAAGAACAGAAAGAGAAAGCUGGAAUCCAUAUCACAUGAUUUAAAGAGCCCCCUCCCUCUUCAUCUUUUAUUAAGAUUUGCAUACAUCCUGCCUGGGAAUGCAGAUGAUAUCUCACUAAUCUCAAGUGAAAACCACAGUGUCGUACGCGUAAAAACGAUCUUUAAAAAAAAAAACGUGUUUUUCUUGGCUAAUUUGUUGAAAACGGAAAGAAAAGAAUGAAAGUGUUUGAAAGUAUGGGAUGCUUUUCCUUCACCUUAAGGAGUGAGCGUCCACGAAUAGUGUAGGCAUCUCGUAACACUAUCUGUCUGUCAGGAGAGAGGUGGUGGUGAGGAGGGGGGGUCCCCGCUCGAGUAGGGAGGCUAUAAAAGGCUUGUAACCAAGGGACGACCAACAAACAACCACAAACACCCCAGUUAUUUCUCUCCACCCACCUCUUUUUCUAUUUUCCCCUUCCACCUCUUCUUCUUUUCCUCCUUUCCUCUUCAUUUUUUUUUUCUUAUUCUCGCCCCCCUUUUCAUCUCGGGCCCUUUUCUGAUGCUGAAUGCAAAUGUGCAGCCCUGCUGCUGCUGCUGGCGGCAAAAGGGGCUGAAUUGUGAUUAAGAGGGAGAAGAAGAAGGAGAAGAAGAAGAAGAAGUAGGAAGAGAAGCUCCUUUUCUUUGUUCUCCCCCUGGGGGAUGUUUACCAGGAGAGACGCGGCGGAUCAGAUAUGAAAGGCAUUCAGGAAAAGGAAGGAAAGGAGAGGGGGGGUAAAAAAGUGCACACCACCGCCGACCCCGUAUGGGAAUGGCAGCAGUGAAUGGCGCGGCGGACAACCCCCCGCCACUAUUGACGAGGCGUCUCGCGGCCAAAAGGAGCUGCUGCUGAGGAGGAGGAAUAGCGGAGCGGCGGGCGCGCGGAUCCUGUUCCACCGGUGUGAUAAUAAAGCCUUAGAAAUAAAAGCCUCAGAAAUAGUUGGGAGGAGGGAGGGACCGCUGCUCCUGCAAGGGCAGGUUUACAACUGAUGUCUUACACCCACUCCAGGAAACAAACCUGGGUAGGGACUGGCGUGUUACGCCUCUUCUAAUGACAUUUUUUUUCUUCUACCCCCCCUCUUCCUCCUCCUCUUCUCCUCUCCUCUCUUUCCACCUCCUUUUUUUGCAGCAACAGAGGAGAGAAGCCCCCUGAAACGCACGCCACCUAUCUUCACGGGAGGGGAUAAUUGAGGAGCCAAACGUGAGCAUCUUCGGAGGUUUUUUUUCUCUCUCUGUCUUUCCACUCCCUCCUUUCUCUCUCUCUCUCCCUCCUUUCUCUCAUCCCUCCCUCCUUUCUCUCCUUUCUUGAGCUCCCCCCCCCCUUCAUCUCUCAACGCGCUCCCAGUUUCAGAAACUUCUCUCCUCUUCUUGCAUGUAAGGCUUCUCUCCUAUUUUAACAUUUUAUUUUAUUUUAAAUAUCUAUGUAAAUGGUUGGGGGCGGGGGGUCGGUUCGGGUCGGACGCACGCGGAUGGUUGCGGUGGAGGGGAUGAAAUUGUCCGCGCGGCUGCUCCUUUUCCAAAAAAACAAAUAAAAUGAAACAAAAAAAAAAAA